Molecule: ribosomal RNA, 720 nt
Filed under: Bacillus sp. (in: firmicutes)
Lineage: Bacteria; Bacillati; Bacillota; Bacilli; Caryophanales; Bacillaceae
Description: bacterial SSU rRNA
Rfam family: Bacterial small subunit ribosomal RNA
Source: RNAcentral
UGCAGUCGAGCGGACAGAUGGGAGCUUGCUCCCUGAUGUUAGCGGCGGACGGGUGAGUAACACGUGGGUAACCUGCCUGUAAGACUGGGAUAACUCCGGGAAACCGGGGCUAAUACCGGAUGGUUGUUUGAACCGCAUGGUUCAGACAUAAAAGGUGGCUUCGGCUACCACUUACAGAUGGACCCGCGGCGCAUUAGCUAGUUGGUGAGGUAACGGCUCACCAAGGCGACGAUGCGUAGCCGACCUGAGAGGGUGAUCGGCCACACUGGGACUGAGACACGGCCCAGACUCCUACGGGAGGCAGCAGUAGGGAAUCUUCCGCAAUGGACGAAAGUCUGACGGAGCAACGCCGCGUGAGUGAUGAAGGUUUUCGGAUCGUAAAGCUCUGUUGUUAGGGAAGAACAAGUGCCGUUCAAAUAGGGCGGCACCUUGACGGUACCUAACCAGAAAGCCACGGCUAACUACGUGCCAGCAGCCGCGGUAAUACGUAGGUGGCAAGCGUUGUCCGGAAUUAUUGGGCGUAAAGGGCUCGCAGGCGGUUUCUUAAGUCUGAUGUGAAAGCCCCCGGCUCAACCGGGGAGGGUCAUUGGAAACUGGGGAACUUGAGUGCAGAAGAGGAGAGUGGAAUUCCACGUGUAGCGGUGAAAUGCGUAGAGAUGUGGAGGAACACCAGUGGCGAAGGCGACUCUCUGGUCUGUAACUGACGCUGAGGAGCGAAAG